GGAGAGGUGACCGAGCGGCUUAAGGUAACGGUUUGCUAAACCGUCGUAUCUCUAAUAGGGGUACCGGGGGUUCGAAUCCCCCCCUCUCCG
Molecule: transfer RNA, 90 nt
Filed under: Gammaproteobacteria bacterium
Lineage: Bacteria; Pseudomonadati; Pseudomonadota; Gammaproteobacteria
Also listed under: 2 other names
Description: tRNA-Ser
Rfam family: tRNA
About the family: Transfer RNA (tRNA) molecules are approximately 80 nucleotides in length. Their secondary structure includes four short double-helical elements and three loops (D, anti-codon, and T loops).
Source: RNAcentral